This 229-nucleotide ribosomal RNA is filed under the name uncultured bacterium. RNAcentral's name for it is "partial 16S ribosomal RNA". It matches the Rfam family "Bacterial small subunit ribosomal RNA", at positions 568 to 796 of the family's 1533-position model. The record is from RNAcentral.
UACGUAGGCGGAAGAUUAAGUCAGUGGUGAAAUCCUGCAGCUUAACUGUAGAACUGUCAUUGAUACUGGUUUUCUUGAAUUUAGUUGAGGUAGGCGGAAUGUGUAAUGUAGCGGUGAAAUGCUUAGAUAUUACACAGAACACCGAUUGCGAAGGCAGCUUACUAAACUAUGAUUGACGCUGAGGUAUGAAAGCGUGGGGAGCGAACAGGAUUAGAUACCCUGGUAGUCC